This 66-nucleotide transfer RNA is filed under the name Schizosaccharomyces japonicus. RNAcentral describes it as "SJAG_16121.1". The record is from RNAcentral. RNAcentral also lists the same sequence under 1 other name. Lineage: Eukaryota; Fungi; Ascomycota; Schizosaccharomycetes; Schizosaccharomycetales; Schizosaccharomycetaceae.
GUCAUGGUCCAGUGGCUAGGAUUCAUCGCUCUCACCGAUGCGGCGGGGUUCGAUUCCACGGAGACA